UGAACGCUGGCGGAGGCCUACACAUGCAAGUCGAACGGUAACAUUUCUAGCUUGCUAGAAGAUGACGAGUGGCGGACGGGUGAGUAAUGCUUGGGAACUUGCCUUUGCGAGGGGGAUAACAGUUGGAAACGACUGCUAAUACCGCAUAAUGUCUUCGGACCAAACGGGGCUUCGGCUCCGGCGCAAAGAGAGGCCCAAGUGAGAUUAGCUAGUUGGUAAGGUAACGGCUUACCAAGGCGACGAUCUCUAGCUGUUCUGAGAGGAAGAUCAGCCACACUGGGACUGAGACACGGCCCAGACUCCUACGGGAGGCAGCAGUGGGGAAUAUUGCACAAUGGGGGAAACCCUGAUGCAGCCAUGCCGCGUGUGUGAAGAAGGCCUUCGGGUUGUAAAGCACUUUCAGUUGUGAGGAAAAGUUAGUAGUUAAUACCUGCUAGCCGUGACGUUAACAACAGAAGAAGCACCGGCUAACUCCGUGCCAGCAGCCGCGGUAAUACGGAGGGUGCGAGCGUUAAUCGGAAUUACUGCGCGUAAAGCGCACGCAGGCGGUUUGUUAAGCUAGAUGUGAAAGCCCCGGGCU
RNAcentral lists this ribosomal RNA (580 nucleotides) under uncultured bacterium. RNAcentral's name for it is "bacterial SSU rRNA". It matches the Rfam family "Bacterial small subunit ribosomal RNA", at positions 30 to 609 of the family's 1533-position model. The record is from RNAcentral.